This 1291-nucleotide long non-coding RNA is filed under the name Homo sapiens (human). RNAcentral describes it as "HSALNT0334284". The record is from RNAcentral. Lineage: Eukaryota; Metazoa; Chordata; Mammalia; Primates; Hominidae.
GUUGCUCGGCGGGCGCCAUCUUUCUCGCGGCGCGGGCGGCGCCCUCCGAGGACAUCUCGAUGACCAGGGCGCCGCGAGGCCCGGGGCUAGCGGGAGCCGAGAGCAGGGUGCUGAAUUCUGGAGAUGGGACUGGGGUCGCGCGGCCUUCUCCUUCCCCACGCCCCCAGACCCAAAAGACGAGGCCGCCGGCUCGGAGCGGGAAGGGCUGGGGCCAGCUUCUUCCUCCUAACCACUUGUUUGUGAUGGAAGAAGGGGGCUGGGGGUCGAGCCUCGCGGCUGAUGGGUUCCCUCCCUGACCCCGCACCCCCACUCCUCCCAGUCGAAAUUGGAGAGACAGGGGUUUCUCUUUGUCACCCAGGCUGGCCUCAAACUCCUGGGCUCAAGCAGUCUUCCCACCUUUCCCUCCCAAAGUGCUGGGAUUACAGGCGUGAGCCACUGCAUCCUGCCGAGAAAAUCAUUUUUUAUUUAAAUAAUGUCAAAUGGAAGUAUGUAGCACCCCCCCCCCACCUUCUUUUCCCCUUUCUUUCCUCUUUGAGUCUGCUGUCAUUCCCUUUUUCAUGAGUUUUCUCUGCUCCCCAAAUAGGCUAAACAAUAACCGUAAAGUGAGAUUAGAGAAAAUAAGAAUGGAGUAGAUGAUGGAAUUCAAAAUAGCUGUCUACAUUCUUCACUGAGAAAGAUAGCUUUGAGUUAAAGGUGAGAGGAGCAAAUCUGGGGAAAAACGGGUGAAACGGCAUGAUUUAAGUAGCAUACCAGAUGCGUUUCUGCAUGGCAUGGCUCUUGCUUGAUGAAUAAUGUUCUGUAUAGUAGAAGAGGAAAAUACAGUGAGUGAAGGAGCUGGCAGAAGGUGGGCUGGGGGAGUUGGGGAAGAGUGAAAUGAGUAUGGAGAGGUGAGAGAGCUGACUGCAAAGGCAUGUGGGGUGUGGAUUUUAAAAGGAAAGCCCUGAGGUGGAAAUCACUAACAUGGUGCCUGGCUACAAGCAGAGGGAGCUCAGGACUUGACUGUGCUGGGGGUGGCCUGCCCUUUUGUAGUGCAGUUGAGGAGAGCUCAGGGGCUGUCAGAAUGCUGUGUGGGAAGGUGGAGGAUGAAAGAGGACCUGGGAGCAGCAACUUUGUUCUGGUUUGUUGUUUUCUCUUCCCUACCUCGUAUGUACUCCCACUCAGGAAAAGAUCCUGAGACCUCUCUGUACCAGAUCCUCUUAUACCCAGGUUCUCCUUAAUCCCAAUCAACUUUAAUCUAUAAAGUUACGAUUUGUUUACUUAUAAAUUUAUUUUUAAUAAAGUUGUGAAACCG